RNAcentral lists this ribosomal RNA (830 nucleotides) under Lactiplantibacillus plantarum. RNAcentral's name for it is "bacterial SSU rRNA". It matches the Rfam family "Bacterial small subunit ribosomal RNA", at positions 69 to 876 of the family's 1533-position model. The record is from RNAcentral. Lineage: Bacteria; Bacillati; Bacillota; Bacilli; Lactobacillales; Lactobacillaceae.
AUUGGUGCUUGCAUCAUGAUUUACAUUUGAGUGAGUGGCGAACUGGUGAGUAACACGUGGGAAACCUGCCCAGAAGCGGGGGAUAACACCUGGAAACAGAUGCUAAUACCGCAUAACAACUUGGACCGCAUGGUCCGAGCUUGAAAGAUGGCUUCGGCUAUCACUUUUGGAUGGUCCCGCGGCGUAUUAGCUAGAUGGUGGGGUAACGGCUCACCAUGGCAAUGAUACGUAGCCGACCUGAGAGGGUAAUCGGCCACAUUGGGACUGAGACACGGCCCAAACUCCUACGGGAGGCAGCAGUAGGGAAUCUUCCACAAUGGACGAAAGUCUGAUGGAGCAACGCCGCGUGAGUGAAGAAGGGUUUCGGCUCGUAAAACUCUGUUGUUAAAGAAGAACAUAUCUGAGAGUAACUGUUCAGGUAUUGACGGUAUUUAACCAGAAAGCCACGGCUAACUACGUGCCAGCAGCCGCGGUAAUACGUAGGUGGCAAGCGUUGUCCGGAUUUAUUGGGCGUAAAGCGAGCGCAGGCGGUUUUUUAAGUCUGAUGUGAAAGCCUUCGGCUCAACCGAAGAAGUGCAUCGGAAACUGGGAAACUUGAGUGCAGAAGAGGACAGUGGAACUCCAUGUGUAGCGGUGAAAUGCGUAGAUAUAUGGAAGAACACCAGUGGCGAAGGCGGCUGUCUGGUCUGUAACUGACGCUGAGGCUCGAAAGUAUGGGUAGCAAACAGGAUUAGAUACCCUGGUAGUCCAUACCGUAAACGAUGAAUGCUAAGUGUUGGAGGGUUUCCGCCCUUCAGUGCUGCAGCUAACGCAUUAAGCAUUCCGCCUGG